GAUUAGCUUGUUGGUGAGGUAAUGGCUCACCAAGGCGACGAUCCGUAACUGGUCUGAGAGGAUGAUCAGUCACACCGGAACUGAGACACGGUCCGGACUCCUACUGAGGCAGCAGUGGGGAAUAUUGGACAAUGGGCGAAAGCCUGAUCCAGCCAUGCCGCGUGUGUGAAGAAGGCCUUUUGGUUGUAAAGCACUUUAAGCGAGGAGGAGGCUACUUGGAUUAAUACUCUAGGAUAGUGGACGUUACUCGCAGAAUAAGCACCGGCUAACUCUGUGCCAGCAGCCGCGGUAAUACAGAGGGUGCGAGCGUUAAUCGGAAUUACUGGGCGUAAAGCGUGCGUAGGCGGCAUGUUAAGUCGGAUGUGAAAUCCCAGGGCUUAACCUUGGAACUGCAUCCGAAACUGGCAAGCUAGAGAUCGGUAGAGGUUGGUGGAAUUCCCGGUGUAGCGGUGAAAUGCGUAGAUAUCGGGAGGAACAUCAGUGGCGAAGGCGACUUUCUGGAUCAAUACUGACGCUGAGGUACGAAAGCGUGGGGAGCAAACAGGAUUAGAUACCCU
Molecule: ribosomal RNA, 557 nt
Filed under: Oxyrrhis marina
Lineage: Eukaryota; Dinophyceae; Oxyrrhinales; Oxyrrhinaceae
Description: partial Bacterial small subunit ribosomal RNA
Rfam family: Bacterial small subunit ribosomal RNA
Source: RNAcentral